RNAcentral lists this ribosomal RNA (509 nucleotides) under Klebsiella pneumoniae. Its description in RNAcentral is "bacterial SSU rRNA". It matches the Rfam family "Bacterial small subunit ribosomal RNA", at positions 108 to 613 of the family's 1533-position model. Lineage: Bacteria; Pseudomonadati; Pseudomonadota; Gammaproteobacteria; Enterobacterales; Enterobacteriaceae. The record is from RNAcentral.
GAGUAAUGUCUGGGAAACUGCCUGAUGGAGGGGGAUAACUACUGGAAACGGUAGCUAAUACCGCAUAACGUCGCAAGACCAAAGUGGGGGACCUUCGGGCCUCAUGCCAUCAGAUGUGCCCAGAUGGGAUUAGCUAGUAGGUGGGGUAACGGCUCACCUAGGCGACGAUCCCUAGCUGGUCUGAGAGGAUGACCAGCCACACUGGAACUGAGACACGGUCCAGACUCCUACGGGAGGCAGCAGUGGGGAAUAUUGCACAAUGGGCGCAAGCCUGAUGCAGCCAUGCCGCGUGUGUGAAGAAGGCCUUCGGGUUGUAAAGCACUUUCAGCGGGGAGGAAGGCGGUGAGGUUAAUAACCUCACCGAUUGACGUUACCCGCAGAAGAAGCACCGGCUAACUCCGUGCCAGCAGCCGCGGUAAUACGGAGGGUGCAAGCGUUAAUCGGAAUUACUGGGCGUAAAGCGCACGCAGGCGGUCUGUCAAGUCGGAUGUGAAAUCCCCGGGCUCAAC